CUACGCUGCGAUAAGCCGUGGGGAGCUGCGAAGAAGCUUUGAUCCACGGAUUUCCGAAUGGGGAAACCCACCUUCGAUAGCCGGAACUCCAAGACCUUGUGUUUUGGGGUUCGACCAGAAAUGGAAGAAAUCAGACCGCGAGGUUUUGGAUUUCCGGUUAUCAAGAGAAGGUAUGAGACUUCCGAAUAAAAUAGGAGGUUUUAAGCAAACCUAGGGAACUGAAACAUCUAAGUACCUGGAGGAAAGGACAUCAAUCGAGACUCCGUUAGUAGUGGCGAGCGAACGCGGACCAGGCCAGUGAUACAUCAAAGACAAUCGGAACCUGUCAGGAAAGCAGGGCCUCAGAGGGUGAUAGCCCCGUACGAGUAAUGCGAUGAUGUAUCCACGAGUAAGGCGGGACACGUGUAAUCCUGUCUGAACACGGGGGGACCACCCUCCAAGCCUAAGUACUCCUCAGCGACCGAUAGU
Molecule: ribosomal RNA, 468 nt
Filed under: Bradyrhizobium sp. aai2
Lineage: Bacteria; Pseudomonadati; Pseudomonadota; Alphaproteobacteria; Hyphomicrobiales; Nitrobacteraceae
Description: bacterial LSU rRNA
Rfam family: Bacterial large subunit ribosomal RNA
Source: RNAcentral